Oreochromis aureus is the source of this 750-nucleotide long non-coding RNA. RefSeq lists it as uncharacterized. The record is from RefSeq and is a predicted model, not a curated record. The transcript is spliced from 3 exons. Lineage: Eukaryota; Metazoa; Chordata; Actinopteri; Cichliformes; Cichlidae.
UCUCUGUUUGUCACUCAUUUGCUUAUACUCACUCAAAGUACCAAUUUGUACUGAUGAGUCUAGUGUAUUUUUUUCCCUCUUUCUCUCUGUCUCACACACACAGACCAACACACAGACAUGUAUAUGCUCAUUAUUGCUCUUCAAACUGAUGGUCAAAUUUCCAAGCACCACCUGAACGCCUCAUUUGUUUUUAACCCAUCACGGGACCAACUGUCGUCAUUCCGCUUUGCUCUCUGCUGUGGAACCUGACUGACAUCUGUGCUUUGACUGUGUGCAGAAGAAGAACAAGGACGAGAUCUCCAGUCUUCUGUCUCACAUCCCAACCCCCCAUCCCCUCUAUCCUCUGUCCUGCUCCACCUGUUGUCUCUGCCUUCUUUCCAUCUGUAUUUCACCCUGUGGUUUGUGAGAAAUUUUGCCAAACCAAGAAUCUUAUUGCGGUUUGAUUUCAAAGCCGUGUCUCUCCUGCUCUGUCUGUUCUCUCUGCUAAAUUUUCUCUCUACCUGUUUUUCACUCUUUGGUUUGCUGCUGAAAAAUGCACAAGCCAAUAAAGCAAUAAAGAGUGCAUAUUUUGCCUCAACCUAUGAACAAACUGAACAAACAAAGAAAACUCUAAUUCACGGUUAAUUGGGAUUUCCCAGCCGUGUCUUUCCUGCUCUGUCUGUUCUCUCUUCUAAAUUUUCUCUCUACCUGUUUUUCACUCUUGGCUUGCUGCUGAAAAAUGCCAAGCCAUUAAAGCAAUAAAGAGUGCAU